UCGAAAGAGAUUAUGGUGAGCCUUCAUGGCGUUCUGCAAGCUUUGGUUCCGGCACCGCUCUAAACGGAGAGUAGCUCUUCCCCAAGGAAGAGUGAACUUCGGGAUAAAAUUUGUGUCCUCGCGUCACUUGUGGUUAAUCCUUUCCCCGCACUUUACUUUGUUGUGUAUGCUUGUUGGCUUGCUAAUUAGAUUGCUGCCUAGCAUAUUUAGCUUUAAGCUUGCUUGUCAUAUAGGUUGUGUUCACCUAGUUGCAUAUCUAGUGAACCCUAUUUAUCCCCUAAACAUUAAAAUUGAUAAGAAAUAUUAAAAUUUGUAACCCCUAUUCACCCCCCUCUAGUCGACCGUAUCGAUCCUUUCAAAGUAAGACUAUAUAGGCUAGGAUGUCAAAAUACAUUCGAUGGCAAAUCUUUGCAUACCAAGUAAAACUAUGUAUGUGUGUUUUUUGAUUCAUGGCAUCUACACUUUUGUUUAUUGUUGGCAUCAUAAGUCAGAACAAGGUAGUUAUUGCCAUGCUUUUCAGAGUACAAAAAUUUGCCAUGUUUUUUGUGUUGUUGUCCUGAUUAAUGAAUACAAAAUUUGCCAUGCUUCAUAGGUUAUUCUUCAUUAUUAGUACGAUCAUUUUCCAAAUUUUUGCAUGCUUCAUAGUACUAAUUUUCAGCAUUUGCCAUGUUACCAUUUAUACAUUCUCUAUUUUAUGCCAUGUUCGGGACACAAUAAUUUAUAAAUUGGUCAUGUACCAUUUUUACAUAUUUUCCCAAACUUGCCAUGAUUAUAGUGCAAAAAUCCAAAACGUGUCGUGUAACAAUUACAUAUUCUUGUCCUAAAAUUGCCAUGAUUUAGUCAUUUCAAUUUUCUAAAAAAAAUCCAUGGGACCAUUUACAAAAGCUUCCAGCAUUGCCUUUCAGUCAUGGAAAUUAAUUUUCUAAAUUUGCAAUGUGAACCAGUACCAUUUUUUUACUAAAUUUUCUGCUUUGCGGUAAAAAAAUCCUACAUUGUACCAUAUGACCAUUACAACACUCUUUAAGUUUUCCAUGAUUUUUCGAAUACAAAAAAUUCUAAAUUUUCCAUGUAACCCAUUUACAUUUACCAAAAUUGCCAUAUUUUUUAUAUAUUAAAAUUCCCGCUUUUGCCAUGUGAACGACUACAUUUUUUUUUCUAAAUUUGCCAUGAUUGUUAGCAGCCACUUAGGCACAACUCCUAAUUUUUGUCGUGUGACCAUUACAAUUUUUCAAAAGUUGCCAUGUUGAGAUAACAAAAUUCUCUUAAAUUUGCCAUGUUGAGAUUACAAUCAUGAAGAUUCCCUUAAAUUUAUUAUGCUUGUUAGCGGCCACUUAGGCACAAAUCCAGCAUUUUAUAUAAUAAAAAAUUCUAGGUUCACUAUAAUGAGCAUGACAAUUUUGUUACAUAGGUCCUGGAAAGUUUUAUUAAUUAUAGCACGACAAUUUAUAAUUACAGGAUGGCAAUUUUAUUAACUAACGCAUGUCAAUUUUAUUAAUUAAAACAUGUCAAUUAAAGCAUGGAUGGGUACUUUAGUACGAACAUCAUUGCUACCUUUUUAUCUAUGUUUUAAGUUAUGGCAAUUUUAGUUUCUCAUGCAUUGCAAAUUUGGAUUUUCAUUGAUGGCAAUUUGGGUUCACACAUCAUGACUAGUUUUUUUUGUGUGUAUUACAUAUGGCAAACUUAGGUAUAAACAUACCCUCCACCAGCUGGUUGUUUUAUUCAAAAGGCACGACAAAUUAAUUUUUAGAGUAUAGUAACAUGUGUCUCGUACUUCAUUGAUUCUUGUUUUCUGGGUGGAAAGAUGUAGGGAUGGGGGAGAAUCACCUUUCUUCUUCUUUCUAUUCAUCUCAUCUUUAAAUUCUGCUCUUAUCUCUACGAAGGCGUGGAAGGAGAGCAUGGGUUGUAGGGGUCGUUAGUUAGUGUGUGCGCGCGCGCGCGCGUGCGUGUGUGUGAUUUUCCAACAGAAUUAACUUGGCAAAAUUCAAACUAUAAGAUAGGUAAGGUUUUUCCAUCAUUUUUAUAAUCUAUUUGAAUUAUUCUUGUCAUGGCAAAUCUUUACACUGCUAAUCUUCCUUUUUUUUCCAAUGGCAACCGAUCUUUUGUAUAGGUAAAUUGCAUGUAUCUUGCUCUGGCAAAUCACACAUGAUUUUGGGGAGCUAAUCCAUUUUCUGGAGCAGGGAAAGAAGCAGAGGGAGAGGGCGAGUGGCCUGCGGCGCGCGAAUUUUGGGUCGUGCUCGGGGUAUUUGCCAUUGAACAAAUACGUUCGCUCAUUUCUACCUUGUUGUGGGGACGAUCGUUCGCUCGCGUACCUCCCUGGAAUGUUAGUGUGUUGUUGGUGUCCAUAAAUUAAGACGGAAAAAGUAGCUGCUUUGUUGAGAGAGUGAGAGGAAAAAGGAAGAAAGAGCCACCAUGGAUACAGAAAAGGUGAAAAAGAUGGAGAGAGAACUUCUUUUAAGGCCUUAUACAAUGGUAGGUUUUAGGGAGUUAUUUAAAAAAUAAACCAAGUUUUUUGAAGCACUAGUGCCUAUUUUUAGAGGAGAGACAUCUAAUUAAGCGUCUGCCUUAUAUAAAUAAGCAACGAU
Molecule: long non-coding RNA, 2582 nt
Filed under: Triticum aestivum (bread wheat)
Lineage: Eukaryota; Viridiplantae; Streptophyta; Magnoliopsida; Poales; Poaceae
Description: long non-coding RNA (TAES_LNC027570)
Source: RNAcentral